Molecule: non-coding RNA, 21 nt
Filed under: Arabidopsis thaliana (thale cress)
Lineage: Eukaryota; Viridiplantae; Streptophyta; Magnoliopsida; Brassicales; Brassicaceae
Source: RNAcentral
UCGCGUUAAAACGAUAUUCAC